This 500-nucleotide ribosomal RNA is filed under the name uncultured bacterium. RNAcentral's name for it is "partial 16S ribosomal RNA". It matches the Rfam family "Bacterial small subunit ribosomal RNA", at positions 29 to 523 of the family's 1533-position model. The record is from RNAcentral.
AUUGAACGCUGGCGGCAUGCCUUACACAUGCAAGUCGAACGGCAGCACGGGGGCAACCCUGGUGGCGAGUGGCGAACGGGUGAGUAAUGCAUCGGAACGUGUCCUCUUGUGGGGGAUAACCAGUCGAAAGAUUGGCUAAUACCGCAUGAGAUCGCAAGAUGAAAGCGGGGGACCGCAAGGCCUCGCGCGAGAGGAGCGGCCGAUGCCGGAUUAGCUAGUUGGUGGGGUAAAAGCCUACCAAGGCGACAAUCCGUAGCUGGUCUGAGAGGACGACCAGCCACACUGGGACUGAGACACGGCCCAGACUCCUACGGGAGGCAGCAGUGGGGAAUUUUGGACAAUGGGCGCAAGCCUGAUCCAGCCAUGCCGCGUGUGUGAAGAAGGCCUUCGGGUUGUAAAGCACUUUCGGACGGAACGAAAUCGCGCGGGCGAACAUCCCGCGUGGAUGACGGUACCGUAAGAAGAAGCACCGGCUAACUACGUGCCAGCAGCCGCCGUAA